GAUGAACGCUGGCGGCGUGCUUAACACAUGCAAGUCGAACGAAGAACCGUAUUUCUUUUUCUUCGGGACUGAUCAUUUUGUGACUGAGUAGCGGAUGGGUGAGUAACGUGUGGGUAACCUGUCAUGUACAGGGGGAUAACAGUUUAAAACGUCAGCUAAUACCGCAUAAGCGUACAGCAUCGCAUGAUGCAGUGCGAAAAACUCGGGUGGUAUCGGAUGGACCUUCGUUGGAUUAGCUAGUUGGUGAGGUCACGGCCCACCAAGGGGACGAUCCAUAGCCGACAUGAGAGAGUGACCGGCCACAUUGGGACUGAGACACAGCCGGGACUCCUACGGGAGGCGGCAGUGGGGAAUGUUGCACAGUGGGCGAAAGCCUGAUGCAGCGACGCCGCGUGAGCGAAGAAGUAUGUCGGGAAGUAAAGCUCUAUCAGCUGUGAAGGUAAUGACGGUACCUGACUAAGAAGCACCGGCUAACUACGUG
This 481-nucleotide ribosomal RNA is filed under the name uncultured bacterium. RNAcentral's name for it is "partial 16S ribosomal RNA". It matches the Rfam family "Bacterial small subunit ribosomal RNA", at positions 28 to 507 of the family's 1533-position model. The record is from RNAcentral.